UGACGGCCGUACCAUGCUGAAUAUACCGGUUCUCGUUAGAUCACCGAAGUCAAGCAUCAUUGGGCGCGGUCAGUACUUGGGUGGGUGACCACCUGGGAACACCGCGUGCCGUU
This is a non-coding RNA of Caerostris darwini, 113 nucleotides long. The record is from the annotation of a GenBank genome assembly. Lineage: Eukaryota; Metazoa; Arthropoda; Arachnida; Araneae; Araneidae.